RNAcentral lists this ribosomal RNA (670 nucleotides) under uncultured bacterium. Its description in RNAcentral is "bacterial SSU rRNA". It matches the Rfam family "Bacterial small subunit ribosomal RNA", at positions 8 to 676 of the family's 1533-position model. The record is from RNAcentral.
AGAGUUUGAUUAUGGCUCAGGAUGAACGCUGGCGGCGUGCUUAACACAUGCAAGUCGAACGAGAACCAAUGGAUUGAGGAUUCGUCCAAAUGAAAUUGGGGAAAGUGGCGGACGGGUGAGUAACGCGUGAGCAAUCUGCCUUGGAGUGGGGAAUAACGGUUGGAAACAGCCGCUAAUACCGCAUGAUGCAAUUGGGAGGCAUCUCUCUGAUUGCCAAAGAUUUAUCGCUCUGAGAUGAGCUCGCGUCUGAUUAGCUAGUUGGCGGGGCAACGGCCCACCAAGGCGACGAUCAGUAGCCGGACUGAGAGGUUGGCCGGCCACAUUGGGACUGAGACACGGCCCAGACUCCUACGGGAGGCAGCAGUGGGGAAUAUUGGGCAAUGGGCGCAAGCCUGACCCAGCAACGCCGCGUGAAGGAAGAAGGCUUUCGGGUUGUAAACUUCUUUUCUGAGGGACGAACAAAUGACGGUACCUCAGGAAUAAGCCACGGCUAACUACGUGCCAGCAGCCGCGGUAAUACGUAGGUGGCAAGCGUUAUCCGGAUUUAUUGGGUGUAAAGGGCGUGUAGGCGGGAAAGCAAGUCAGAUGUGAAAACUAUGGGCUCAACCCAUAGCCUGCAUUUGAAACUGUUUUUCUUGAGUGCUGGAGAGGCAAUCGGAAUUCCGUGUGU